CACUCCUGCGGGAGGCAGCAGUGGGGAAUAUUGGACAAUGGGCGCAAGCCUGAUCCAGCCAUGCCGCGUGAGUGAUGAAGGCCCUAGGGUUGUAAAGCUCUUUCACCGGUGAAGAUAAUGACGGUAACCGGAGAAGAAGCCCCGGCUAACUUCGUGCCAGCAGCCGCGGUAAUACGAAGGGGGCUAGCGUUGUUCGGAUUUACUGGGCGUAAAGCGCACGUAGGCGGACUAUUAAGUCAGGGGUGAAAUCCCGGGGCUCAACCCCGGAACUGCCUUUGAUACUGGUAGUCUUGAGUUCGAGAGAGGUGAGUGGAAUUCCGAGUGUAGAGGUGAAAUUCGUAGAUAUUCGGAGGAACACCAGUGGCGAAGGCGGCUCACUGGCUCGAUACUGACGCUGAGGUGCGAAAGCGUGGGGAGCAAACAGGAUUAGAAACCCUGGUAGUCCC
This 446-nucleotide ribosomal RNA is filed under the name uncultured organism. RNAcentral describes it as "partial 16S ribosomal RNA". It matches the Rfam family "Bacterial small subunit ribosomal RNA", at positions 334 to 797 of the family's 1533-position model. The record is from RNAcentral.